RNAcentral lists this ribosomal RNA (492 nucleotides) under uncultured bacterium. Its description in RNAcentral is "partial 16S ribosomal RNA". It matches the Rfam family "Bacterial small subunit ribosomal RNA", at positions 29 to 507 of the family's 1533-position model. The record is from RNAcentral.
AGUGAACGCUGGCGGUAGGCCUAACACAUGCAAGUCGAACGGCAGCACAGUAAGAGCUUGCUCUUACGGGUGGCGAGUGGCGGACGGGUGGGGAAUACAUCGGAAUCUACUUUUUCGUGGGGGAUAACGUAGGGAAACUUACGCUUAUACCGCAUACGACCUACGGGUGAAAGCAGGGGAUCUUCGGACCUUGCGCGAUUGAAUGAGCCGAUGUCGGAUUAGCUAGUUGGCGGGGUAAAGGCCCACCAAGGCGACGAUCCGUAGCUGGUCUGAGAGGAUGAUCAGCCACACUGGAACUGAGACACGGUCCAGACUCCUACGGGAGGCAGCAGUGGGGAAUAUUGGACAAUGGGCGCAAGCCUGAUCCAGCCAUACCGCGUGGGUGAAGAAGGCCUUCGGGUUGUAAAGCCCUUUUGUUGGGAAAGAAAAGCAGCAGGUUAAUACCCCGCUGUUCUGACGGUACCCAAAGAAUAAGCACCGGCUAACUUCGUG